AGGGUUUGAUCAUGGCUCAGGAUGAACGCUAGCUACAGGCUUAACACAUGCAAGUCGAGGGGCAGCAUGGUUUCAGCUUGCUGAGACUGAUGGCGACCGGCGCACGGGUGAGUAACGCGUAUCCAACCUGCCCUUUACUCCGGGAUAGUCUCCUGAAAGGGAGUUUAAUACCGGAUGUGUUUGUCUUUCCGCAUGGGAGCGACAAAUAAAGAUUAAUUGGUAAAGGAUGGGGAUGCGUCCCAUUAGCUAGUUGGCGGGGUAACGGCCCACCAAGGCGACGAUGGGUAGGGGUUCUGAGAGGAAGGUCCCCCACAUUGGAACUGAGACACGGUCCAA
RNAcentral lists this ribosomal RNA (336 nucleotides) under uncultured bacterium. RNAcentral describes it as "bacterial SSU rRNA". It matches the Rfam family "Bacterial small subunit ribosomal RNA", at positions 8 to 334 of the family's 1533-position model. The record is from RNAcentral.